This 459-nucleotide ribosomal RNA is filed under the name uncultured bacterium. Its description in RNAcentral is "partial 16S ribosomal RNA". It matches the Rfam family "Bacterial small subunit ribosomal RNA", at positions 338 to 795 of the family's 1533-position model. The record is from RNAcentral.
CCUACGGGUGGCUGCAGUGAGGAAUAUUGGUCAAUGGCCGAGAGUCUGAACCAGCCAAGUCGCGUGAAGGAUGACUGCCCUAUGGGUUGUAAACUUCUUUUAUAUGGGAAUAAUCUUUGGUAUGUAUACUAUUUUGCCUGUACCUUAUGAAUAAGCAUCGGCUAACUCCGUGCCAGCAGCCGCGGUAAUACGGAGGAUGCGAGCGUUAUCCGGAUUGAUUGGGUUUAAAGGGUGCGUAGGCGGGGUUUUAAGUUGGUGGUGAAACGUCGGGGCUUAACCGUGCUGAGCCAUCAAUACUGUAAGACUUGAGUGCAGAGGAGGUAGGCGGAAUGAGUGGAGUAGCGGUGAAAUGCAUAGAUAUAGCGUAGAACCCCGAUAGCGAAGGCAGCGUGCCGGACUGCGACUGACGCUGAAGCACGAGAGCGUGGGGAGCGAACAGGAUUAGAUACCCCUGUAGUC